RNAcentral lists this ribosomal RNA (115 nucleotides) under Ignavibacteria bacterium. Lineage: Bacteria; Pseudomonadati; Ignavibacteriota; Ignavibacteria. The record is from RNAcentral.
CUUGGUGACGAUUGCGCGGGGACACACCUCUUCCCAUUCCGAACAGAGUCGUUAGCCCCGUUGCGCCGAUGGUACUGCAUCUGAACUGGUGUGGCAGAGUAGGUAGUCGCCAGGU